Molecule: long non-coding RNA, 4774 nt
Filed under: Xyrichtys novacula (pearly razorfish)
Lineage: Eukaryota; Metazoa; Chordata; Actinopteri; Labriformes; Labridae
Source: RNAcentral
GAGGAGGUGAGAGUCUCUGUCCAGCAUGGAUGACAGCUUGUCUGUAUUCCUCCUCUCCCCAGCCUCCUUCACAAGAUCCAGAGGGCAUCCCAGGACAGAGCUGGCCUUCCUUAUAAGUUUGUCCAGCCUCUUCCUGUCAGCUGCUGCUCUGCCCAGCAGACCACUCCAUAGGAAAUGCAGAGGCCACCAGAGUCAUAGAAGGUCUUCAGGAGUGCCCCCCGCACUCCAAAAGACCUCAGCUCUCUGAGCAGAUAGAGUCUGCCCUGUCCUUCUUUGUAAAGUGCGUUGGUGUUAUGAGUCCAGUCCAGUUUAUUCUUCAGAUGAAUACCCAGGUAUGUAUAAGACGUCACCAUCUCAAAGUCUCUACCCUGAAUGUUCACUGGGGAUGGGGGGGGGGGGGUUCUCUAGCACCACUCCACAAAGUCCCAGACAAGUUCUCUGUAUGCCCAGUCGUCCCCGUCAAUGAUGAGGUCGGCAAUGGCAGAGUCAUCUGACUUCUGCAGGUGGUAGAUGGGUGACAGGUGGGAGAAGUCUGUAGUGUAGAGGAUGAAGAGGAAUGGUGCCAGUACAGUUCCAUGGGGUCCCCUAUACUACAGACGGCCGUCUUCAACACACAUACACUUUCAGCUGAUUCAUCCUAAACCAGCUGAACCUUCCUCAUUUGAUUUCAAUUGGACAAACUUGCUUACAUGCAUUUAAAAAGUCCAGUUUCAGUCAGUCAGGCUAUUGCAAUAAAUCGAUUUUUUAAAGUGAAUACAAACUUAUUGUAUGAAUAGCACUAGUUUACAAAGCCGUUCUCUGCACCCAAGUUCAUUUCGGGCAAAUCUUACCAUGCCACAGUAAAAAUACUUAAUAUCUUAAUAUCUAAAAGCUUGAUCAUGCCAGACCUAGUAUGUACCCAUGGAUAUUUUUCCUCAUUCUUUAGUCUUUGUUUGGACAUUUUGUUUUCACUCUGCAAGCACAAGCUCCCACAUAAGUAGAGCUUUCACUCCUCUUCUUCAUGUGUGCGCUGUACUUUGUCCUUCCACCUCUGUGGCGUCUGUUUGGCUGACCGCUCUCCAUUCUUGGCUGGCCAACAGGAAACAGAAGAAGCAGAACACAGCCAAAUCCUCAGAGUGGUAGGAGGUUGAGUAUUGGGUGAUGAAUUGCCAGACUGGAGAAAGGGAGGGCUAUGAAAGUGGGUGAAAGAUAUAUUAUGGGAGGUGUAGGAAAGGCAGUAAAAGUUCCCUGAAACACAGCAGAAACGAUAAGCAAAGAACUAGCGUAAGUUUUGCUGUAGCAGUCUAUGACUUAAUCCCUUCAGCCCAUCCCAGUCCCUUUUUUGGCUGGACUGGGUCAUGGUUUCCAGGUUGCUGACCCUGAACUGGAACAAACUGCUAGAUUUUACAGAGACAGUGAGUCGGUAAAACAGCUGGUAACAGACAGUCUUUACGAGAAAGUGCGGUUUGUGCUUGCUGUAUAAUUAGCUGCCCUACCAUUGGAGCCAUCCUUUCAAAACAAGCGAGUUUAAAGACUUGUCACAAGUUUGUUUAUGAAAUGGAAAUCCCCUCUUGGUUGGUCUUACUCUAUAAGAUUAAGAGAUAUCUCCUCUGUGUUUGGAUUCUCGAUGAUAACCUCAGCCAACCUCCCAUCUCAAAUCAGCUCUCGAUCUUAACUCACAAAAUGUCUUGACAAAACUAUGUGGUUGUCAAAGAAAAUUGUUGGUAUCAUUUUUGAGGUUUUUGGUUCAGACCAUGCCGGCUGGGCCUCUGAAUUACCCAGAACACCCCCAGAUGUAAGAUCUCACAGUGGGUGCCCCACUCAUUCAUCUGGAAAGAAGAGUUUUUUUCUUCGAACUCUAAGAGAGUGACAGAGAGGAUAUAAAAAAAAAAAAUCCAGUUAUUUUUUUAGAUAUUUCAAGCUCUAAAUUUGUUUUUAUUAAGCUCUGGAUUUGCUUUAGUAUUUGUGUGGAGGUUGGCAAAAAGUAAAUGAAGGAAAGUAAAUAUUUUAAGUUUUAUUAGCUUAUCUUAUGAUGACAUAUGCAUUUGGAGUUCUGUCUGUCUUUUUGAUGCAGUUUAUCAGCUGAGAAAGAUAAGGCUGCUCGACCUUCACAGUAGGGUUCAAAUAUGGUAUGUUUUGCAGCUGAACAAUGUUUGUUUGAAAAGAGGGGUGGGCAAAAAUGGCCCCCUUUAAAGACAAGGUUCCUCAUUAUCACCAUCAGUUUUUUUUCUUUUUAUAUAGCACCAAAGUAUUAUCCCAUGAUGCUUACCAAAAAAGCUGGUCUAGACCAUACUCUGUUUAUAAUGACCCACUGAAAUGAAUGGAUAAGCUUGAGCCCCAUCUCCAACCACACGAGUGAAGCAUUUUCCAGCACUCAUCAAGUUACAGUGGAGAGGAAACACUUUCUCGAACAGGCAGAAACCUUGAGCAGAACCAGAUUCGUGUUAGACAGUCAUCUGCUGAGACAGAGCUGGGUUUAGAGAGGGAAGAGAGGAAGAUGGAGAGAGAGAAAGAGUGAGAGAUGGAUAGAAGAGAGACUGGUGGAGGGAGAUGCACUCGUAAAGUGCUUUCAAACAGUUUUCCGCAGUAAGAGCUGUAAUGACUGUAACUUUGCCUUGGAUAAACCAGAUUAGAGUCACUGAGAGGAGUUUCUUUUCUAGUGUUGAUUCUGUCCUCCUGGGAUAAAGACUGCAUUCCCCAUGAGCACCGUUGCCUACUAUCCUUCCCAGCGCGUGCAUUUGAAGUGGAAGCAAAUGAAUGGAAUACAGGUUAUGUUUUUAAUGCAGCUUUUCUUGGUUCAAAAAUCUUUUUGCAGGAUGCAGGGGGAUGAGGCAAUGUAAUGAGGUCACUGUUACUCUCAGCUGGAGGGGUGAGCAGGGAGUGUUCAGUCUCGAAUCUGGGAUAUGGCAAAAUAUUCUCAUUCUGUGCACUGUGCCUUUAAAUGCCUGGGCUCAAAUGCAGGGUAUCCAGAGUUAUAGACCUUUUUCAUUACAUUUUUAACUGGCCUUUUGAAACACCAAACACCCCCCAAAAAAAAGAAAAAAAUCAAGGCGACUGUCAGCUGGCUGUUUUUAUGAAUUCAACAAGGUCAUUCUUAUGUGAGCAACUUUAUGACUGUUUUUGCAUUUUAAAAAAUCUCUUACCUAAAAAUGUCUUAUCUCUCUGGGGACCGCUCUGUGCUGUUGAGUUCAAAUAAAAUGAAAAUACCAUUUUGAAGUAUUACAGAGAAAAAAAUAUGCGUAAGAGAUACAAAGACUAAUCUGUAUCUCUUAAACAUAAUCCCCAUUACAUGACGAGCACAUAUUUUCUUCUGCUUGUCUCAUCUUCUCUCCCAAAUUAUCUUAACAGAGCAUCAUCAUCUUAUCAGAGAUUGAUGGAGAAUCAGAUUUGAGUCUGGAAGAGAUAUGGGUUUGUGUUAAUGACAGCAGUAUUCAAAGUGUCAGCAUGAUUUAGGGACUGCAGUUGGGAGUUUAUGAGAGGUGAUAAAAUGUAGUUAUUUCUGGUGCUGAAGGAAAAGCAGUUGUUGCUGUCCAGAAAGUGAGUCAUGGACAGAGGGGUGCAAAAUGUGGAUUGAAGAGAGAAGGAGGGAAAUAGCUGACCUGAAUUUGUGUUUGGGUGGUGACAGUUUCCUCAUGCUACAUUAAACUCUGUGUUAUAAAACCUCAACAAAGAGACACAGUGUUUAAGUGGUGAAAUGGUGGGCCUGGAUAAAUAGUGUGACUAGUUUGACCAACUUUAUUUAAUUGAACUUGUGCCAAUUUAUUUAACCACUCGAGCAACAAUUGAAGUCAAAUCUUUCAAAACUAAUGAAAAAAUACAAAACUGGUGUUUGUUUUAAAGGUCCCCUAUUAUGAAAAACCCACUUUUGGGUGGUUUUCAACCAAUAAUAUGAAUCCCCUCGAAGCCGACCCCCCCAACUUGAAAAAAAAUAAUUCUCUCCCUCUCUUGUUUUCCCCUCCUUUCUGAAAAUGGGCAAAUGGAAAAGCUGUGCGGUUAUGACAACAUAACCACAUAAGCCCCUCCUACAUGUUGGAGGCAGCGUCCCUGAUAAUUAUUAGCCCAGCCCUCUAAAACUUCUUUGCUGAUGUAGCGUCCACCAUUUUGGCCCUCACAUUCACCGCUCCGGUACAACGACUAUGUCUAAGCUACGACCCAGCCGCUGUGUGAUUCUUGGCUGCACAAACGAAGACAGGAUUUCUUCCUCCUUCGUCAGAAGAUUUAAGGACCCAGUGGAUUAAUUUUAUUUUGAUGGAAAUGUACCCACAACAACUCAGAAAUUGUUGUAUGUGUGUGCUAACCAUUUCAACACGGACUGUGUUACCCACAGGGGCAGGAUGUGCUAAGAAGCUGAAGAUAAAACCUGGAUCCGUACCGACUGUCCGUGUCAGGGACCCAACUUCAGUUAAGUUUUACCAUUUUAUGUUGCUUUACCACUGCCCAUAUAACUAGUGCUUUGGCUACAAUCGUGUGUUUUCCAUUGUUGGUAUUCGUCUUUGAACGUGCUUCUGUUCACUUUUAUUCCUGUGAGCAGCGGGUGUUCCUCGGGGGCGCAGAGGCAGGCUGGUGAUUCCAACUGCGGUGGUCUGGAGGUCCUCUGAAGAGGUCCUCAGAAAAUCUCCAGACCACCGCUCCUGGACCACCGCGGUGGUGCUGGCAGUUCAGAGUGGCCUUGGGGAGGACGAUAGGGAUGGGCACGGCAGUUCUUUCAGAUGUACCGAAUCACUAGAAUCAGUUCACUAAAAAGAUUCGUUUACAGAAUCAUUCAGUGCUUGGCGGGAGGAGCCUGUGACUCUGA